AAGGAUUUAAGUUAAGGAAACUAGUAACCUUCAAAGUUGCCAUUAGAGAGGCUCUAAGCCUUA
This 63-nucleotide transfer RNA is filed under the name Phloiophilus edwardsi. RNAcentral describes it as "tRNA-Trp". The record is from RNAcentral. Lineage: Eukaryota; Metazoa; Arthropoda; Insecta; Coleoptera; Phloiophilidae.